This 207-nucleotide ribosomal RNA is filed under the name uncultured bacterium. RNAcentral's name for it is "partial 16S ribosomal RNA". It matches the Rfam family "Bacterial small subunit ribosomal RNA", at positions 568 to 774 of the family's 1533-position model. The record is from RNAcentral.
CGCGUAGGCGGGUAUUUAAGUCAGGGGUGAAAUCCCGGAACUCAACUCCGGAACUGCCUUUGAUACUGGGUACCUAGAGUAUGGAAGAGGUAAGUGGAAUUCCGAGUGUAGAGGUGAAAUUCGUAGAUAUUCGGAGGAACACCAGUGGCGAAGGCGGCUUACUGGUCCAUUACUGACGCUGAGGUGCGAAAGCGUGGGGAGCAAACA